Molecule: long non-coding RNA, 138 nt
Organism: Ornithodoros turicata
Lineage: Eukaryota; Metazoa; Arthropoda; Arachnida; Ixodida; Argasidae
Exons: 3
Source: RefSeq, a predicted model, not a curated record
UGAAAUUUGGCCUAAGAAAUCAGCAAGAGGGUAGAAUUGCAGGAGAAGAACCCUUAAAAUUUGGCCUCAGAAAACAACAAUAGGUGGAAUUGCAGGAGAAGAACCAUUGAAAUUUGGUCUCAUAAAAGAACAAUAGGU